Molecule: transfer RNA, 73 nt
Filed under: Austrofundulus limnaeus
Lineage: Eukaryota; Metazoa; Chordata; Actinopteri; Cyprinodontiformes; Rivulidae
Description: tRNA-Pro
Rfam family: tRNA
About the family: Transfer RNA (tRNA) molecules are approximately 80 nucleotides in length.
Source: RNAcentral
CAAAGGAUAGUUUAGUUGUUUAGAAUUCUAACUUUGGGAGUUAGGGGGGUGGGUUAGAAUCCCAUUUCUUUGA